UGGUAGGUGGUCUAAGAGAGGGGGGAGGAGGAGCAGCGCCGGGCAGAGCGUCGGCGGCUACAGCCGGCGUCGCCGCAGGCUCUGUAAGCCGAGCGUGCGCGAAGGUGAACGAGCGCCGACGGAAACGUGCGAACAUAGAGGUUCGUGCUGCCGAACGAACGGAACGGUCAGGCAGUGCGGAGCCGUCUCCUGUAAACGCGACGGUCGUGGGUUUUACCGCUGUACAAGAAAUAGUGAAAUAGAUGUGCGCUCGCGCGUGUUUACGCGGUCCGAAAGAGAGAAAAAGACAGAGAAAUAAAGAAUAGGUGGAUGGGUAUAACAGUGGAGAGUGAGAACAAGAGAAAUAGAGAGAAAGAAAGAAAGGAAGGAAGGAAGGAAGGAAGGAAGGAAGAACGAAGGAGAACAAGAGAAAGAACAAGGGAGAAGGUGUGUGUGUGUGAGAGAGAGAGAGAGAGAGAGAGUGAGAGAGGGGUAGAAAAAAUCGAAACGCGUGUGUGCAUGAGGAUCGACGUGAUAAAGACAGAGGAGCGUUACGGAAUCCCUGAUAAACCUUUCCUAAACUUCUACUCAUUCGAAUUAUUCAAUUGGAAUUCGUGCACUGUUUGAGAACGGAGAAACAGAGAGAAACUACAGAUAGAAAUAUAGAAAGAAGAAAGAAGAAAGAAGAAAGAUAGAGAAAUAGAUAGAAAGAGGGAGUAAUAGCAGGAAGGAGAUCUUUGGAGUUGGCAGGAACAGUGCGAAGAGAUAUCGCAGCGUUGACGAAGCGCUCCGUCCGGGGCGUGGGUGCAUCGCGCCGCCGGUACGUCACACGGCGACCACCGACGGCCCAGGAAUACAUACGACACACGCUCGGUUGCUUCCUCGGAUUACUUGCUUACUUCUCUCCUCCUCAUCGUUGUCGUCGUCGUCGUCGUCAUCAUCGUCAUCAUCAUCAUCAUUGUUAACAUCGUCGUCGUCGUCAUUAACUUUUUUCUUUCAUUUCUACCUAUACUACUCCUUAGGCUUCUCCGUCCAAUUAAAUUCGUUCGCGAAUCGUUGUUUCGUUGUUUUUCGGCGUUGGCGGAAAAUUCGAACGAAAAUUCGGCGGCACACUGUUGUGCGAUCUUAACGUAAUUGUUAUCUCAUUGGUGUAAGUAAGUUUUAUUUUCCGCCGUUAUACAUCUAUUAUACGUGUUGGAUACAUAAUAUUUGAAGAUUAAAACGAAGAAAAAUAAAAAAAGGAAAGAGAAGAAGAGUGAAGAGAAUUCAAGAACGGAGAAGUGGAGUGCCAAUCUCGUUCGUUGCUCCGUCGGACGUGUACUCGAGUGUCAACUGCACACAUACAUCCACGUAAAGAAAGAGUGUGUGUGUGUGUGUGUGUUGUAUGUGAGUGAGUGAGAACGAGAACAAGAACGAGAGAGAGAAAGAGCAA
Polistes canadensis is the source of this 1411-nucleotide long non-coding RNA. RefSeq lists it as uncharacterized. Lineage: Eukaryota; Metazoa; Arthropoda; Insecta; Hymenoptera; Vespidae. The transcript has 2 exons. The record is from RefSeq and is a predicted model, not a curated record.